UACAGAGGUCUCAACCGUUGUUCGGAUUCGUUGGGCGUAAAGGGUGCGUAGGCGGCCCGUUAAGUCAGUGGUGAAAGCCUCCAGCUCAACUGGAGAACUGCCAUUGAUACUGGCGGGCUUGAGUACAGACGAGGUAGGCGGAAUUGAUUGUGUAGCGGUGAAAUGCAUAGAUACAAUCAAGAACACCGAUUGCGUAGGCAGCUUACUAGGCUGUAACUGACGCUGAGGCACGAAAGCGUGGGGAGCGAACAGG
RNAcentral lists this ribosomal RNA (253 nucleotides) under uncultured bacterium. RNAcentral describes it as "partial 16S ribosomal RNA". It matches the Rfam family "Bacterial small subunit ribosomal RNA", at positions 524 to 776 of the family's 1533-position model. The record is from RNAcentral.